RNAcentral lists this RNase P RNA (431 nucleotides) under Candidatus Uhrbacteria bacterium CG10_big_fil_rev_8_21_14_0_10_48_16. Its description in RNAcentral is "RNase P RNA component class A". It matches the Rfam family "Bacterial RNase P class A". From Rfam's summary of the family: Ribonuclease P (RNase P) is a ubiquitous endoribonuclease, found in archaea, bacteria and eukarya as well as chloroplasts and mitochondria. Its best characterised activity is the generation of mature 5'-ends of tRNAs by cleaving the 5'-leader elements of precursor-tRNAs. Cellular RNase Ps are ribonucleoproteins. Lineage: Bacteria; Candidatus Uhriibacteriota. The record is from RNAcentral.
CAGGAUGGUCGGAUGGCUACGUGCGCUUUGCGUGCGAGGAAAGUCCGAACACCCGUUUUAUCGCAAGAUAAGACGAUAAAGAGAGUCGCUAACGGCGACCAAGGAUACGUUUGAGGGUUCGCGGAAUUGGAGAAAUUCAUUCCAUGACUCCUGAUUCAAACUUUAGGGAAAGUGCCACAGAGACAAUACUAGCCUCGUGCAAACGGGGUGAAAGGUGAAAAGUGAUGCUGAGGUUACUCGAUCAGUCGGUUGAGUCAGCCACACAUCUCGCUCCAUGGCGACAUGGAUGCGUGGUAAACCCUCUCUGGUGAAAGAGCAAAUUUGGUAGCUCGAUGGAGCCCUUCAGCAAUGUUGGGACUAGAUAGAUUGCCAUCUCCCUUUGCGAGUUCGUAGAGGUAGACAAAAUUCGGCUUACAGACCAGCCCUGGGAC